AUGAGCCGAAUGGGCAGCAACGGCGGCGGCAAGCUGGCAAGCUGGCUGUGGCGCGCGCCGCGGCGGGCUCUGGGCCGCGCGCGCGACCUCUACGUGCGGAGCCUCACCAGCUGCGCGGGCCAAUUCCCGUCCGACGCCUCCUUCGGCUACCCGUCCUUCGCCGCCGCCCCUGCGCCGUGCAGCAGGGCCGCCGGCUACCACAGCUUCUCCGCCUCCGCCUCCCCCUCAUCCUCCUCGCGGUCCUACGACGGCGACGGCGACCUGCGGGAGCUCAUGCGCGCCGCGUCGGAGAGGCGGGCGGCCCCAGAGCGGCCGCCGGCGGUGCCCAGGAGCCGGAGCGUGGCCAUGGCGAAGAUCGACGAGGACGGGCCGUGCGACUUUGGUCUCGCCGGCGCCGGCGUGCCGUUUGCCAGGAGCCGGAGCUGCGCCGUCUCCGCCGGCCGGGCCAGUGGGCAGAGGGGGAGGGCCGCGCAUGUGCCUGUGGCUUGA
Molecule: ribosomal RNA, 489 nt
Filed under: Triticum aestivum (bread wheat)
Lineage: Eukaryota; Viridiplantae; Streptophyta; Magnoliopsida; Poales; Poaceae
Description: partial small subunit ribosomal RNA
Source: RNAcentral